Molecule: ribosomal RNA, 515 nt
Filed under: Listeria monocytogenes
Lineage: Bacteria; Bacillati; Bacillota; Bacilli; Caryophanales; Listeriaceae
Description: bacterial SSU rRNA
Rfam family: Bacterial small subunit ribosomal RNA
Source: RNAcentral
CCUUCGGGGACAAAGUGACAGGUGGUGCAUGGUUGUCGUCAGCUCGUGUCGUGAGAUGUUGGGUUAAGUCCCGCAACGAGCGCAACCCUUGAUUUUAGUUGCCAGCAUUUAGUUGGGCACUCUAAAGUGACUGCCGGUGCAAGCCGGAGGAAGGUGGGGAUGACGUCAAAUCAUCAUGCCCCUUAUGACCUGGGCUACACACGUGCUACAAUGGAUAGUACAAAGGGUCGCGAAGCCGCGAGGUGGAGCUAAUCCCAUAAAACUAUUCUCAGUUCGGAUUGUAGGCUGCAACUCGCCUACAUGAAGCCGGAAUCGCUAGUAAUCGUGGAUCAGCAUGCCACGGUGAAUACGUUCCCGGGCCUUGUACACACCGCCCGUCACACCACGAGAGUUUGUAACACCCGAAGUCGGUAGGGUAACCUUUAUGGAGCCAGCCGCCGAAGGUGGGACAGAUAAUUGGGGUGAAGUCGUAACAAGGUAGCCGUAUCGGAAGGUGCGGCUGGAUCACCUCCUUU